Long non-coding RNA from Neopsephotus bourkii (Bourke's parrot), 3937 nucleotides. RefSeq lists it as uncharacterized. NCBI's taxonomy places the organism in Eukaryota, Metazoa, Chordata, Aves, Psittaciformes, Psittacidae. The record is from RefSeq and is a predicted model, not a curated record. The transcript has 2 exons.
AUGAAUAGGAAAAAGCUUUGCUAAUCGGAGGGUAAAAACGACCCAGCUAUAACUAUAGAGUUUUAGAUAAGUGCAUCUUGAAAAGAGAUUAAUGAAUGGUGCUGUUUCUGCUGAUGUCUCGUGAUUUUUUUACAAAUCUGGUUCAGCACCUCUGGAAAUCGUUUUACUAUUUCUGAGUAGUUUUUUUGAGCAAUAAGAGUAUAUAGCAUUGUGCGCAUUUUUUAAGCACUGCUAUGGAAAGGCACUUUUUUGUAUCUUUCAAAUUGUUCACAAAGUUUUGUUUCUACUAUUUUUGUGCUUAUAAAGUGUCCUUAAAAGCAUUUGCAUUGUUGAUGUAAGCACUCUCAGUGUAGCUGGCCAGCAGCUCCACAGGAAGGUUGCUGAGCUGCACUGCAGUUGAUGGUGCUGUAAUUUUCAACACUGGUCCUCCUGCUGCCUUGUGCUGUGCACAGCUCCGGGGCUCACACCCACCCGUGGAGGCAGAGGUGCAGAGCUGGAGCCAAAACUCCCCAGCUGUUACCCAGGGUAGGUGAGUGGCCACGUUCUCUGGCUCCCUGGCAAGGGGCACCCGGGCUGGUGCAGUGUGCUUCUGGGUGAGAGCAGCCAGGGAAUCCUGCUUGCACCAUCUGUUUUUCUUUUCCCCCAGGACAGCUCCACUGGUGUUAGUUCCAGCCCUUUUGCUUUUGUUCAUUCAGUGUGGGUACCUCUGGGCUUUGGACUCAGCAGAGCAAUGUUUUGAGUGCAAUUUCUUCAAAGGCAUUUGAGAUUUUGUUCUCAUUUUCCUGUGCUCAUGUUCAUCACCCAGUAUCUCUCCCUAGACAGUGAAUCCAUGCUACUACUGCAGGCUGCGGAACAGCUUGCUGGGAGACAGAAGUUUAACUCUUUCUUAAGUUUGCAGCAAAAAUAACAAGCAUCAGCAAAGGUGGCACCCUGUAUUGAUUGCUUCUUGUUGCAUCUUGCUUCCUAAGCCAGUAAUGAUACAGAAAUACAGUGCUCUCAGCUGAGCACUGAAAUUUUGGCAACCUGGCUGCCUUUUCAGCUUAUGAGACCCCUCGUUGUAACUUGCUUUUUCAGUGUGUUUACUGCUUUUGUGACAGUAAAUAUUUAUGCCUUAUUUGCAAGUAAGUUAUUUUCCCCUGUGUGGACUGGUCUCAUAAUUGCACCAUUAUAUUUAUUUAAAUCAGGAAACUGAGGGACCAGAUCUCACACCCACUGCAAGCAGCUUUCUGCUUCCUUUUGGCACUGUUAAAAUGAGCAUGUGAGAGCCGAGCUUUCAUACUCUGGACAUAAACGUAGCAGAUGCUUUGAUCCUAAAAUACUGAGAGCGUACAGCUGUUGUGUUAAAUGAUGAAGCGUAUGCCCUUUGACACUUGUUAAGGUCAGGGUGCUGGGGAAAGCCCUGCAGCCACAGGGGCAGCUGAGAGCAUACAGCUGUGUUCAUUAAUCUGGAACAGAUUUGGUGCUCAUUUCCUCUCUGCCAUGCAGCAGGGUGCCUCCUGUUCUGGCAGGUUUCUCUGCCUGCAACGCAGGUGUACAAAGCAGGGAGCCAGUCUUCUCAGACACUUUUGACUGUACUUAGGUCUCGGGGAGUUGCUUUGGAAGGGAAAACAAGGCUCUUAUAGCAGCACUAAGCUUAUAGGAGAAACUAGUUAACAAACCCCAAAGAAGUCUGGUUCUGAACAAACCCCAGGUACUGUUUGAGGUGGAUGUGCUGGGGUUCUGUUUAGUCUUUCAAAACCUGUGGCUGAGGGAGGAGAUUAGGCACAAGUCUCACAAUAAAAUAAUCUGCUAUUUUCUGUGGAAGAGGAAACCUCCUGCUCUGCUCCUGCGGCAAACCACCGCCUGCUCAGCUUGGUGCAUGACCUCAAAGCCAAAGAGCUCCUCUCCUGAACAGUUUUCCUGCAGGGCAACGGUGGCUGACUGACACAUCAGGGAAACAAAGCAAAGGUACCUGGAUCACUUUGGCUUCAGGUCUGAUGGGAGAGGGAGCAGUUUUUUCAACAAGUGCAUUUUAAGAUUUACUGUUCUGGAUUUGCACAUUGAAAUGUUUUCUUAUUUCUUCUUUCUGUGCCCUUAAGCAACCAGAUAAAUCAGCUCAGAGACAGUGCGGCCAGUUUUCCUCCCAGUUAACAUUACUUUUUCCACAGCUUAAAGGAACCAAAAGUGCCAUUUCAGCAACAGAAGGGCAAAAGAGAAAUCUGGUUGUGACAGAAUACUGCAUAGAACUAAAUUGUUUUACUUCAGUGGUAUCAUUGCAGGUAAAUUUGUUUCUUACUCAAAAUAAAAUUAUAUGGGUCUUACUGGGACAGUAUAAAUUCCUGACAGAAGGUAGUGAUGAUGCAGCCAGAACAUGUGAGUUUGUUUCGUUUCUUCCUUUUUUCACUGUUAAGGUGUAGGUUAUGUACUUGUUCAAACAGCACUCCUCGUUUGGACGUGAUGGGAAUGGAAUCAUCUUUGAGGGAGAUGUUUUCCCACAGCCCAUUUGUGGCUCCUGGCUUUGCAUUCCCCCGCACAAUCAAUCAGGACGGACUCCAGACUGGAGAGGAUUUAACACUACAAGGGUUAGUUUCUCUUAGAUGUUUCUGUAAUGUGCUGGUGGGUUUUAAGCUUGUAUGGUGGAAUAGUAAGUUUGUCUAAAGUUGAGUUAUUUUUCUUUCUGAAUUAUUUUUCUUCUUCAGUUAAGAAAAUGCCCGUGAAGACUGACAAACCCAGUGUUACAUUGCGGGGGUCCGUGCACUCUGAUCUGUGUGAUCCAGUGAGUCACGGGCUGUCUAAUCUUGAAAAGUUCAAAACACUAAACUGCAAAUGGGGUGACAACAUGUGUGUAUCCCUAACAGUGUAAAGUAAUUGAUUUGCACUUGAUGCAUUUGCAUUUGAUGGCUAUUUGGUGCUCUAAGGUGCUGAGUAGGAGCUCUCUGACCAUCAGAAGUGUGUAUCUAUCUGUGGUGAAGAGAGCUAGAAAGAGAAAUUAGAGGAACAGGAACUAGUGCUACAUGCACCAUCUCUUGUGGCAGGGACUUAGUGAGGGAAAUGAGUGAGGAGCUUCAGUAACAGAUUUUGGAAUGCAUACCCCUCAUUUAAAUGCUCAAAGGUGACAUGUAUUUUAAGAGACUUGGGAAUUGAACCAGCUGUUCCCUGCAGUGGAAAACAGUGUCCUCCUACCUUUCCCAAGAUGCCAAAGAUGCAUUCAAAGCUAAAUUCCAGGUACUCAGAUGUGCUUGCACCAGCCUCUGCCAGGACUGAAGAGCUGCUGUUGGGCAGAACAGGGAUGCCGCUGUUGUGUAUCUCUUGCCUUUAACUAGCACUGGCAAGUGGGUACCCACCUGCCAGGCAGGGGCAAAGGGAAGUUAAGUUUAGCAAACAAACCUGUGCCCAAGGCUCUCUGCUGCUGAUUUGGUGCAGCACUAUAAAGCUUGUACUGCUAAAAGGAAAACUGAAUGCUUUGUCACAAGUUGUAAUGGCAGAUGUUGGUCUCCUUUCUAGUGGACUGCGGUGGACCCAAAAUUAACUGGAGCAGCAGUUUAGUUUAUGGAUUACACUAUUAGCAGCUGCUGGUGAUGUUCUGUAUAAUAUGGGGGAUGCAAAUGUAAGAAAAAGUGUCAUUGCAAUGAUGAUUUGUCUGUGCAGCAAACUUGUGCUGAGUGCUGUAAAUACAUUCAUGUUUACUGCUUUAAAAAGAAAAUUGCACAUUUUAUCUUUCAGUGGGAUUGCCUCCCCUCUUCUUCCCUUUCCAAAAAGAAAAAUCAAAGCUCUUUUAGACUGAUAGCUUCAGGUUGGGGGGAGCUUUGCCAUAUUAUAAAUAUAUAUAAAUAUAUGUAUAAAUAUACUUUUUUAAGCAUGGGAGAGGACAAAAGAAAUACUACAUUAUAGAGUACCCAGUAUAGAUCAUUAUAAUGGAAUAUGCACAAUCCAAUAAAGAUGUAGUUAAAUUUAAUAA